GAUGAAGAACGCAGCGAAAUGCGAUACGUAAUGUGAAUUGCAGAUUUCAGUGAAUCAUCGAAUCUUUGAACGCACAUUGCGCCCGCCAGUAUUCUGGCGGGCAUGCCUGUUCGAGCGUCAUUUCAACCAUCAAGCCUUCGCUUGUGUUGGGGCCCCGCGGCUGCCGCGGUCCCCUAAAUCCAGUGGCGGGCUCGUCGUCGUACCGAGCGCAGUAGACAUCCUCGCUCCGGGAACCCGACGGGUGCUGGCCGUGAAACCCCCCACAUCAAGGUUGACCUCGGAUCAGGUAGGAAUACCCGCUGAACUUAAGCAUAUCAAUAAGCGGAGGA
This 329-nucleotide unclassified non-coding RNA is filed under the name soil metagenome. RNAcentral's name for it is "partial contains 5.8S ribosomal RNA, internal transcribed spacer 2, and large subunit ribosomal RNA". The stretch from base 1 to 120 matches the Rfam family "5.8S ribosomal RNA", at positions 35 to 154 of the family's 154-position model. The record is from RNAcentral.